RNAcentral lists this ribosomal RNA (879 nucleotides) under uncultured bacterium. RNAcentral describes it as "bacterial SSU rRNA". It matches the Rfam family "Bacterial small subunit ribosomal RNA", at positions 32 to 812 of the family's 1533-position model. The record is from RNAcentral.
AACGCUGGCGGCGUGCUUAACACAUGCAAGUCGAGCGGGCAAUUUAUCUAGCACUGAUUACUUCAAAUGGCUAUCGCCAGUGUAAUCAUGAAUUUCUACCUUUAAUAAAGAAAAAAGAAAUUCAUGUACGCAAAUAGUGAUAACACAUUUUAGUGGAGUGAUGAGUGCUGGAUAAAUUGCUAGCGGCGGACGGGUGCGUAACACGUGGGUAACCUGCCCCUAUCACUGGGAUAACACACUGAAAAGUGUGCUAAUACCAGAUAACAUAAGCUUUUGGCAUCAUUAGCUUAUCAAAGAAUUUCGGAUAGGGAUGGGCCCGCGUCUGAUUAGCUUGUUGGUGAGGUAACGGCUCACCAAGGCAACGAUCAGUAGCCGACCUGAGAGGGUGAUCGGCCACACUGGAACUGAGACACGGUCCAGACUCCUACGGGAGGCAGCAGUGGGGAAUAUUGCACAAUGGGCGAAAGCCUGAUGCAGCAACGCCGCGUGAGCGAUGAAGGCCUUCGGGUCGUAAAGCUCUGUCCUAUGGGAAGAUAAUGACGGUACCAUAGGAGGAAGCCCCGGCUAACUACGUGCCAGCAGCCGCGGUAAUACGUAGGGGGCAAGCGUUAUCCGGAAUUACUGGGCGUAAAGGGUGCGUAGGCGGUUUAUCAAGUCAGGGGUGAAAGGCUACGGCUCAACCGUACUGAGCCUCUGAAACUGGUGAACUUGAGUGUAGGAGAGGAAAGUGGAAUUCCCAGUGUAGCGGUGAAAUGCGUAGAUAUUGGGAGGAACACCAGUGGCGAAGGCGACUUUCUGGACUACAACUGACGCUGAGGCACGAAAGCGUGGGGAGCAAACAGGAUUAGAUACCCUGGUAGUCCACGCUGUAAACGAUGA